Molecule: non-coding RNA, 133 nt
Organism: Patella vulgata (common limpet)
Lineage: Eukaryota; Metazoa; Mollusca; Gastropoda; Patellidae
Product: small Cajal body-specific RNA 8
Exons: 1
Source: RefSeq, a predicted model, not a curated record
UGGAAGGCUGAAGAUACACAGAAUAAUUUGAGAUUUUACUUUUCUGUCACUCAAACUUCCUAUAUUAAACAAGACUUUCUGAUGACUACAAAUAUUCUAGUUUAAAUUGUAGACAGAUACGAAGUUAACAAAC